RNAcentral lists this ribosomal RNA (422 nucleotides) under uncultured bacterium. RNAcentral describes it as "bacterial SSU rRNA". It matches the Rfam family "Bacterial small subunit ribosomal RNA", at positions 355 to 772 of the family's 1533-position model. The record is from RNAcentral.
UCGGGAAUUUUGGGCAAUGGGCGAAAGCCUGACCCAGCAACGCCGCGUGAAGGAUGAAAUCCCUCGGGAUGUAAACUUCGCAAGAACGGGAAGAAUAAGUAAGAGUUAAUAUCUCUUACGAUGACGGUACUGUUUGUAAGCUCCGGCUAACUCCGUGCCAGCAGCCGCGGUAAUACGUAGGUGGCAAGCGUUGUCCGGAUUUAUUGGGUUUAAAGGGUGCGUAGGCGGUCCUAUAAGUCAGUGCUGAAAUAUCCCGGCUUAACCGGGAGGGUGGCAUUGAUACUGCAGGACUUGAGUAGAGUUGAGGUUGGCGGAAUUGACGGUGUAGCGGUGAAAUGCUUAGAUAUCGUCAAGAACACCGAUAGUGAAGACAGCUAACUAAGCUCUAACUGACGCUGAGGCACGAAAGUGUGGGGAUCAAA